GCCUGGGUGGCUCAGCGGUUGAGCAUCUGUCUUCAGCUCAGGGUGUGACUCCAGGGUCCUGGGAUCAAGUCCCACCUCGGGCU
RNAcentral lists this transfer RNA (83 nucleotides) under Canis lupus familiaris (dog). It matches the Rfam family "tRNA". From Rfam's summary of the family: Transfer RNA (tRNA) molecules are approximately 80 nucleotides in length. Their secondary structure includes four short double-helical elements and three loops (D, anti-codon, and T loops). Lineage: Eukaryota; Metazoa; Chordata; Mammalia; Carnivora; Canidae. The record is from Rfam by way of RNAcentral. RNAcentral also lists the same sequence under 2 other names.